GAUGAAGAACGCAGCGAAAUGCGAUACGUAAUGUGAAUUGCAGAAUUCAGUGAAUCAUCGAGUCUUUGAACGCACAUUGCGCCCCCUGGUAUUCGGGGGGGCAUGCCUGUCCGAGCGUCAUUGCUGCCCUCAAGCACGGCUUGUGUGUUGGGCCUCCGUCCUCCUCCCGGGGGACGGGCCCGAAAGGCAGCGGCGGCACCGCGUCCGGUCCUCGAGCGUAUGGGGCUUCGUCACCCGCUCUUGUAGGCCCGGCCGGCGCUUGCCGACACAUCAAUCUUUUUUCCAGGUUGACCUCGGAUCAGGUAGGGAUACCCGCUGAACUUAAGCAUAUCAAUAAGCGGAGGA
Molecule: unclassified non-coding RNA, 345 nt
Filed under: soil metagenome
Description: partial contains 5.8S ribosomal RNA, internal transcribed spacer 2, and large subunit ribosomal RNA
Rfam family: 5.8S ribosomal RNA (bases 1-120)
Source: RNAcentral